UACGAAGGGGGCUAGCGUUGCUCGGAAUCACUGGGCGUAAAGGGUGCGUAGGCGGGUCUUAAGUCAGGGGUGAAAUCCUGGAGCUCAACUCCAGAACUGCCUUUGAUACUGAGGAUCUUGAGUUCGGGAGAGGUGAGUGGGAACUGCGAGUGUAGAGGUGAAAUUCGUAGAUAUUCGCAAGAACACCAGUGGCGAAGGCGGCUCACUGGCCCGAUACUGACGCUGAGGCACGAAAGCGUGGGGGAGCAAACAGGG
This 255-nucleotide ribosomal RNA is filed under the name uncultured bacterium. Its description in RNAcentral is "partial 16S ribosomal RNA". It matches the Rfam family "Bacterial small subunit ribosomal RNA", at positions 524 to 777 of the family's 1533-position model. The record is from RNAcentral.